GCCCUCAUAGUUCAAUAGGAUAGAACAAGGCACUCCUAAGGCUUAGAUCCAGGUUCGAAUCCUGGUGAGGGCA
This 73-nucleotide transfer RNA is filed under the name Candidatus Dojkabacteria bacterium. RNAcentral's name for it is "tRNA-Arg". It matches the Rfam family "tRNA". From Rfam's summary of the family: Transfer RNA (tRNA) molecules are approximately 80 nucleotides in length. Their secondary structure includes four short double-helical elements and three loops (D, anti-codon, and T loops). Further hydrogen bonds mediate the characteristic L-shaped molecular structure. tRNAs have two regions of fundamental functional importance: the anti-codon, which is responsible for specific mRNA codon recognition, and the 3' end, to which the tRNAs corresponding amino acid is attached (by aminoacyl-tRNA synthetases). tRNAs cope with the degeneracy of the genetic code in two manners: having more than one tRNA (with a specific anti-codon) for a particular amino acid; and 'wobble' base-pairing, i.e. permitting non-standard base-pairing at the 3rd anti-codon position. The record is from RNAcentral.